RNAcentral lists this ribosomal RNA (761 nucleotides) under Bacillus licheniformis. Its description in RNAcentral is "bacterial SSU rRNA". It matches the Rfam family "Bacterial small subunit ribosomal RNA", at positions 72 to 817 of the family's 1533-position model. Lineage: Bacteria; Bacillati; Bacillota; Bacilli; Caryophanales; Bacillaceae. The record is from RNAcentral.
ACGGGAGCUUGCUCCCUUAGGUCAGCGGCGGACGGGUGAGUAACACGUGGGUAACCUGCCUGUAAGACUGGGAUAACUCCGGGAAACCGGGGCUAAUACCGGAUGCUUGAUUGAACCGCAUGGUUCAAUCAUAAAAGGUGGCUUUUAGCUACCACUUACAGAUGGACCCGCGGCGCAUUAGCUAGUUGGUGAGGUAACGGCUCACCAAGGCGACGAUGCGUAGCCGACCUGAGAGGGUGAUCGGCCACACUGGGACUGAGACACGGCCCAGACUCCUACGGGAGGCAGCAGUAGGGAAUCUUCCGCAAUGGACGAAAGUCUGACGGAGCAACGCCGCGUGAGUGAUGAAGGUUUUCGGAUCGUAAAACUCUGUUGUUAGGGAAGAACAAGUACCGUUCGAAUAGGGCGGCACCUUGACGGUACCUAACCAGAAAGCCACGGCUAACUACGUGCCAGCAGCCGCGGUAAUACGUAGGUGGCAAGCGUUGUCCGGAAUUAUUGGGCGUAAAGCGCGCGCAGGCGGUUUCUUAAGUCUGAUGUGAAAGCCCCCGGCUCAACCGGGGAGGGUCAUUGGAAACUGGGGAACUUGAGUGCAGAAGAGGAGAGUGGAAUUCCACGUGUAGCGGUGAAAUGCGUAGAGAUGUGGAGGAACACCAGUGGCGAAAGCGACUCUCUGGUCUGCAACUGACGCUGAGGCGCGAAAGCGUGGGGAGCGAACAGGAUUAGAUACCCUGGUAGUCCACGCCGUAACGAUGAGUGCU